RNAcentral lists this ribosomal RNA (489 nucleotides) under uncultured bacterium. RNAcentral's name for it is "partial 16S ribosomal RNA". It matches the Rfam family "Bacterial small subunit ribosomal RNA", at positions 355 to 834 of the family's 1533-position model. The record is from RNAcentral.
UAGGGAAUCUUCCACAAUGGACGCAAGUCUGAUGGAGCAACGCCGCGUGAGUGAAGAAGGUUUUCGGAUCGUAAAGCUCUGUUGUUGGUGAAGAAGGAUAGAGGCAGUAACCGGUCUUUAUUUGACGGUAAUCAACCAGAAAGUCACGGCUAACUACGUGCCAGCAGCCGCGGUAAUACGUAGGUGGCAAGCGUUGUCCGGAUUUAUUGGGCGUAAAGCGAGCGCAGGCGGAAUGAUAAGUCUGAUGUGAAAGCCCACGGCUCAACCGUGGAACUGCAUCGGAAACUGUCAUUCUUGAGUGCAGAAGAGGAGAGUGGAACUCCAUGUGUAGCGGUGGAAUGCGUAGAUAUAUGGAAGAACACCAGUGGCGAAGGCGGCUCUCUGGUCUGCAACUGACGCUGAGGCUCGAAAAGCAUGGGUAGCGAACAGGAUUAGAUACCCUGGUAGUCCAUGCCGUAAAACGAUGAGCGCUAGGUGUUGGGGACUUUC